RNAcentral lists this ribosomal RNA (198 nucleotides) under uncultured bacterium. RNAcentral describes it as "partial 16S ribosomal RNA". It matches the Rfam family "Bacterial small subunit ribosomal RNA", at positions 328 to 539 of the family's 1533-position model. The record is from RNAcentral.
ACGCUCGACACCUACGGGAGCAGCAGUCGGGAAUAUUGCGCAAUGGAGGAAACUCUGACGCAGUGACGCCGCGUGCAGGAAGAAGGUUUUCGGAUUGUAAACUGCUUUAGACAGGGAAGAAGAAGUGACAGUACCUGUAGAAUAAGCUCCGGCUAACUACGUCNCNGAGCCGCGGUAAUCUGAGCGGGCUGGCAAGGC